CUUCCCCUCUCUCUAAAAAUCAACAAAAACAUAUCCUUGGGUGAGGAUUUAAAAAAAUUCUAAAGAUAGAAUUGCUCUCAUGGGAUAGGCGAACCUGCCCUGAUCUGAAGGGGGAGGAUUAGUUGUGUCCUCCUUCUGUACGAAAUGGCUAAACAGAAAAAA
RNAcentral lists this small nucleolar RNA (162 nucleotides) under Myotis davidii. Its description in RNAcentral is "Small nucleolar RNA SNORA29". It matches the Rfam family "Small nucleolar RNA SNORA29". From Rfam's summary of the family: ACA29 is a member of the H/ACA class of snoRNA that guide the sites of modification of uridines to pseudouridines. The record is from Rfam by way of RNAcentral. Lineage: Eukaryota; Metazoa; Chordata; Mammalia; Chiroptera; Vespertilionidae.